GACGAACGCUGGCGGCGUGCUUAACACAUGCAAGUCGAACGGAAAGGCCCUGCUUUUGUGGGGUGCUCGAGUGGCGAACGGGUGAGUAACACGUGAGUAACCUGCCCUUGACUUUGGGAUAACUUCAGGAAACUGGGGCUAAUACCGGAUAGGAGCUCCUGCUGCAUGAUGGGGGUUGGAAAGUUUCGGCGGUUGGGGAUGGACUCGCGGCUUAUCAGCUUGUUGGUGGGGUAGUGGCUUACCAAGGCUUUGACGGGUAGCCGGCCUGAGAGGGUGACCGGCCACAUUGGGACUGAGAUACGGCCCAGACUCCUACGGGAGGCAGCAGUGGGGAAUAUUGCACAAUGGGCGGAAGCCUGAUGCAGCAACGCCGCGUGUGGGAUGACGGCCUUCGGGUUGUAAACCGCUUUCGCCUGUGACGAAGCGUGAGUGACGGUAAUGGGUAAAGAAGCACCGGCUAACUACGUG
Molecule: ribosomal RNA, 468 nt
Filed under: uncultured bacterium
Lineage: Bacteria
Description: partial 16S ribosomal RNA
Rfam family: Bacterial small subunit ribosomal RNA
Source: RNAcentral